RNAcentral lists this ribosomal RNA (744 nucleotides) under uncultured bacterium. RNAcentral's name for it is "bacterial SSU rRNA". It matches the Rfam family "Bacterial small subunit ribosomal RNA", at positions 103 to 863 of the family's 1533-position model. The record is from RNAcentral.
CGGGUGAGUAACGCGUAGGCAACCUGCCCUUGACACAGGGAUAGCCUCGGGAAACCGGGAUUAAAACCUGAUGACGCCAAACAGUCACAUGGCUGUUUGGCCAAAGAUUUAUCGGUCAAGGAUGGGCCUGCGUCUGAUUAGUUAGUUGGUGGGGUAACGGCCUACCAAGACGACGAUCAGUAGCCGACCUGAGAGGGUGAUCGGCCACAUUGGAACUGAGACACGGUCCAAACUCCUACGGGAGGCAGCAGUGGGGAAUAUUGCACAAUGGGCGAAAGCCUGAUGCAGCAACGCCGCGUGAGCGAUGAAGGCCUUUGGGUCGUAAAGCUCUGUCCUUGGGGAAGAAACAAAUGACGGUACCCAAGGAGGAAGCCCCGGCUAACUACGUGCCAGCAGCCGCGGUAAUACGUAGGGGGCAAGCGUUAUCCGGAAUUAUUGGGCGUAAAGAGUACGUAGGUGGUCUCUUAAGCGCAGGGUUUAAGGCAAUGGCUUAACCAUUGUUCGCCCUGUGAACUGGGAGACUUGAGUGUAGGAGAGGAAAGUGGAAUUCCUAGUGUAGCGGUGAAAUGCGUAGAUAUUAGGAGGAACAUCAGUGGCGAAGGCGACUUUCUGGACUAUUACUGACACUGAGGUACGAAAGCGUGGGGAGCAAACGGGAUUAGAUACCCUGGUAGUCCACGCCGUAAACGAUGAGCACUAGGUGUCGGGGUCGCAAGGCUUCGGUGCCGUAGUUAACGCCAUUAA